AAAGUCGUAACAAGGUUUCCGUAGGUGAACCUGCGGAAGGAUCAUUAACAAGUGCCCCAGCCUGAGUUGGGGGACUAACACCUAUUGCCCGCAAGGGCAAUAAUGUGUCCACCCUUUGUGAAACUUCAAUUUUUGCUUCGGCAGCACUCUAAGUGGUGUAAAAACCGCUUGAGGGGUAAGGCUGCCAGAAGCCCAUAUCAAACUAGUUGAUGAAAUGUCAUGCUGUCUGAUAACCACUAUUUGAGAAAUCAAAUUACAUUAAAACUUUCAGCAACGGAUCUCUUGGUUCCC
Molecule: unclassified non-coding RNA, 291 nt
Filed under: Ascomycota sp.
Lineage: Eukaryota; Fungi; Ascomycota
Description: partial contains small subunit ribosomal RNA, internal transcribed spacer 1, and 5.8S ribosomal RNA
Rfam family: Eukaryotic small subunit ribosomal RNA (bases 1-47)
Source: RNAcentral